GGCAUGCCAUCUACAUGUGAAUUAGAUCAUGAACUCCUGGACUUCAAUGCCAUAGUGUUGAAGAUUUUGGCAUGUCUUUCUAUAGAGGCAGGGAUGUUAAUAUUUUCUGGACAGCAAGCACUGAGACAUAAUUAGAGCAUCACACUGGGUUCCACAAGCACAUCCUUUACUUUUCUACUGUAAAUUUUUACUUUAGCAUAAUAGUAGCCAGCUAUACAUCUCAGUACAUUACCUUGGGGGAUACAGGAAGCAAUCAUUGUGUUUACCAAGCAGUCAUUGGUCUGAUGAAUGACAAGGUGUGUGCACCUGUGCAAAAGUGUCAAACUGGGAUUUUUGCCCAUUUAUGUUACACCCAACAGGUUUUUUGUGUAUCUACCUGAGCAUCACACAGGAUAUAAUUCACCCACACCACUCUAGGAUUUGUUUUAAACAAAGUUUUCUUUUGAUUUUUCUGGUAAAAGUAGCUCAAUUCAGUAUAAUGACACAUGAAAAACCAGAUUUGCAAGUUUUGGAGGAGGUCAACAGUGAAUCAUAAGAUAAAGAUGAUCCAUUAUGGUAAAAUACAUGUUUUCAUAACAGAAGAGUGGUGUGGGUGUAUGAUGAUGAUGAUGAUGAUGAUGAUGAUGAUGAUGAUGAUGACUUUGAUGUUGGCCAUGUGAGCCAAAGUUCCUGUGACAGUGAAAUGGAACAAGAUCGACUGAUACAGUCACAGGAAUGCAGACCUCCUUGAUUCAAAUAACAAAGAAAACAACAAUGAAUUGAACUCAAGUCCUUGCACUUGCAAGGCAGGCAGCGGAACCACUGAGCUAAAUCCCCGGCUGAAUACAUUACUAUUAAUGAACAUCUUGCAGAAUUUCAUGGCAGCUAUAGUUUCAGGGAGUAUAAGCUAAAAAACCCCCAAAAACCAAAAUAAAAACCCCUUCAAAAUAUGGCAUAAAAAUUUAUGCCUUUGUAGAUGCGAGGACUUAUUAUCCUUUCAAUUUAGAAAUUUAUCAUGGAACUCAACCUUAUUCAUAUAGUAAUAAACUGAAUGAUGCUGUGAACAGGCUUAUUGUUCCCAUCUCCCAAACUAAUUGAAGUAUGCCAUUAGACAAUUGGUUUACCAGCUUCAAUCAAUAUUGCAUUUGCUAACAGAGCACAAAUUGACCAGCAUAGGAAUUGUAUGCAGGAUCAAAGUGGAAAUUCCAAAC
This 1190-nucleotide long non-coding RNA is filed under the name Heterocephalus glaber (naked mole-rat). RNAcentral describes it as "lncRNA (ENSHGLG00100040333.1)". The record is from RNAcentral. Lineage: Eukaryota; Metazoa; Chordata; Mammalia; Rodentia; Bathyergidae.